Molecule: ribosomal RNA, 250 nt
Filed under: uncultured bacterium
Lineage: Bacteria
Description: partial 16S ribosomal RNA
Rfam family: Bacterial small subunit ribosomal RNA
Source: RNAcentral
UACGUAGGUGGCAAGCGUUAUUCGGAUUUAUUGGGCGUAAAGGGUCCGCAGGGGGUUUAGUAAGUUUGGUGUGAAAUCCCAGGGCUCAACCUUGGACGUGCAUUAAAAACUGCUGAACUAGAGUGCAGGAGAGGAGAGCGGAAUACCAGGUGUAGCGGUGGAAUGCGUAGAUAUCUGGUAGAACACCGACGGCGAAGGCAGCUCUCUGGACUGCUACUGACCCUCAUGGACGAAAGCCGGGGGAGCGAAC